This 366-nucleotide ribosomal RNA is filed under the name uncultured bacterium. Its description in RNAcentral is "bacterial SSU rRNA". It matches the Rfam family "Bacterial small subunit ribosomal RNA", at positions 28 to 424 of the family's 1533-position model. The record is from RNAcentral.
GACGAACGCUGGCGGCAUGCCUAACACAUGCAAGUCUAGGGGUAGCAAUACCACUGGCGCACGGGUGAGUAACACGUAGGUUAUCUGCCCCCAUCACAGACAUAACCCCGGGAAACCGGGGCUAAUAUCUGAUGAGGUCGCGAGAUCAAAGCUUCGGCGGAUGGGGAUGAGCCUGCGGCUGAUUAGCUAGUUGGUGAGGUAAUGGCUCACCAAGGCGACGAUCAGUAGCUGGUCUGAGAGGACGAACAGCCACACUGGAACUGAGACACGGUCCAGACUCCUACGGGAGGCAGCAGUGGGGAAUAUUGGACAAUGGGCGCAAGCCUGAUCCAGCCAUGCCGCGUGAGUGAAGAAGGCCUUCGGGUU